AUGAUGAUGAUUUGGGGUUCGAUUUGAUGAUUUGGGGGUUCGAUUUGAUGAUUUGGGGUUCGAUUUGAUGAUUUGGGGGUUCGAUUUGGGGUCGGAGCAGGGGUUCCGAGGUGGAGGUGGUGGCGGAGCAGUGGUGGAGCAGUGGCGGAGCAGUGUCGGAGGUGGAGGUGGUGGCGGAGCAGUGGCGGAGCAGUGUCGGAGGUGGAGGUGGUGCCAAGAAGAGGUAAACCUCUGCUUGGAGAAGCUUACCUCUCAUAACUUCCCCAAGAAGAGGUUGGGGAGAGGUAAAAAGCACUUCUCGAAAAAAAAAA
Molecule: long non-coding RNA, 311 nt
Organism: Helianthus annuus (common sunflower)
Lineage: Eukaryota; Viridiplantae; Streptophyta; Magnoliopsida; Asterales; Asteraceae
Exons: 2
Source: RefSeq, a predicted model, not a curated record